This 253-nucleotide ribosomal RNA is filed under the name uncultured bacterium. RNAcentral's name for it is "partial 16S ribosomal RNA". It matches the Rfam family "Bacterial small subunit ribosomal RNA", at positions 524 to 776 of the family's 1533-position model. The record is from RNAcentral.
UACGGGGGGGGCAAGCGUUGUUCGGAAUUACUGGGCGUAAAGGGCUCGUAGGCGGCCAACUAAGUCAGACGUGAAAUCCCUCGGCUUAACCGGGGAACUGCGUCUGAUACUGGAUGGCUUGAGUUUGGGAGAGGGAUGCGGAAUUCCAGGUGUAGCGGUGAAAUGCGUAGAUAUCAGGAGGAACACCGGUGGCGAAGGCGGUUCUCUGGGCCUUACCUGACGCUGAGGAGCGAAAGCGUGGGGAGCAAACAGG